RNAcentral lists this ribosomal RNA (459 nucleotides) under uncultured bacterium. RNAcentral describes it as "bacterial SSU rRNA". It matches the Rfam family "Bacterial small subunit ribosomal RNA", at positions 339 to 791 of the family's 1533-position model. The record is from RNAcentral.
GUACGGGAGGCAGCAGUUUCGAAUCAUUCACAAUGGGCGAAAGCCUGAUGGUGCGACGCCGCGUGAGGGAUGAAGGCCUUCGGGUUGUAAACCUCUGUCACCGGGGAAGAAACACUUUGAGUUAAUAGUUCAAAGUCUGACUUAACCCGGAGAGGAAGCAGUGGCUAACUCUGUGCCAGCAGCCGCGGUAAUACAGAGACUGCAAGCGUUAUUCGGAUUCACUGGGCGUAAAGGGUGCGCAGGCGGCCGAGUGUGUCAGAUGUGAAAUCCCGAGGCUUAACCUCGGAACUGCGUCUGAAACUACUUGGCUAGAGUAUUGGAGAGGGUAACGGAAUUCACGGUGUAGCAGUGAAAUGCGUAGAUAUCGUGAGGAACACCAGAGGCGAAGGCGGUUACCUGGACAAUUACUGACGCUCAGGCACGAAAGCGUGGGGAGCAAAAGGGAUUAGAUACCCCGGU